GUUCUGUGGCAGAGUCUCCAACUCUGAACGAGGACCCAGUUAGAGCACCCAGAUAUUUAGAGCAACCUGACUUCUUGACUACUCUCAUCCUUCUACAGACCUUUCCUGUGCUUUUGGGUACAAGCCAUUUCCGGGAGUGGACAGGGAGGAGGAUGGUACAGCUGCACUCUCAGCAUCACCCACACACACUCACUGACCACCUGAGAGUAAAAAGAGCUCAUAGACUCUGAAGAAUGAGCACAAGUCAAGGCUUUGGAGGAGGGACAGCUGACUGAUGAAAACGGAACAUGAACCACUCCCCCAAAUCCACCAAAACGGAGCAAAGAAUGGAAAAGGGCCUAAACUGGGAGGAGGACAAAGUGAGCGGAGGAGGACACAGAGGGGAGAGUGCAUGCCUUUGCCCCAGCUAGACAAGGAAGAACAGAGAGACUUGGCCAGACCUUGCUGACCAGGGAAAUUGACCUCGACCCCUUCUGAUUAUUACCUUGGGCUGCAGAAGGGCAUGAAGCUGCCUGGAGGAUAAAGGGCCUG
Molecule: long non-coding RNA, 531 nt
Organism: Artibeus jamaicensis (Jamaican fruit-eating bat)
Lineage: Eukaryota; Metazoa; Chordata; Mammalia; Chiroptera; Phyllostomidae
Exons: 4
Source: RefSeq, a predicted model, not a curated record